Molecule: ribosomal RNA, 632 nt
Filed under: Salmonella enterica
Lineage: Bacteria; Pseudomonadati; Pseudomonadota; Gammaproteobacteria; Enterobacterales; Enterobacteriaceae
Description: partial 23S ribosomal RNA
Rfam family: Bacterial large subunit ribosomal RNA
Source: RNAcentral
CAGUCUGCGUGGAGCCGACCUUGAAAUACCACCCUUUAAUGUUUGAUGUUCUAACGUGGACCCGUAAUCCGGGUUGCGGACAGUGUCUGGUGGGUAGUUUGACUGGGGCGGUCUCCUCCUAAAGAGUAACGGAGGAGCACGAAGGUUGGCUAAUCCUGGUCGGACAUCAGGAGGUUAGUGCAAUGGCAUAAGCCAGCUUGACUGCGAGCGUGACGGCGCGAGCAGGUGCGAAAGCAGGUCAUAGUGAUCCGGUGGUUCUGAAUGGAAGGGCCAUCGCUCAACGGAUAAAAGGUACUCCGGGGAUAACAGGCUGAUACCGCCCAAGAGUUCAUAUCGACGGCGGUGUUUGGCACCUCGAUGUCGGCUCAUCACAUCCUGGGGCUGAAGUAGGUCCCAAGGGUAUGGCUGUUCGCCAUUUAAAGUGGUACGCGAGCUGGGUUUAGAACGUCGUGAGACAGUUCGGUCCCUAUCUGCCGUGGGCGCUGGAGAACUGAGGGGGGCUGCUCCUAGUACGAGAGGACCGGAGUGGACGCAUCACUGGUGUUCGGGUUGUCAUGCCAAUGGCACUGCCCGGUAGCUAAAUGCGGAAGAGAUAAGUGCUGAAAGCAUCUAAGCACGAAACUUGCCCCGAG